RNAcentral lists this ribosomal RNA (273 nucleotides) under uncultured bacterium. RNAcentral's name for it is "partial 16S ribosomal RNA". It matches the Rfam family "Bacterial small subunit ribosomal RNA", at positions 29 to 305 of the family's 1533-position model. The record is from RNAcentral.
ACGAACGCUAGCGGCGUGCUUAACACAUGCAAGUCGAGCGGUAAGGCCCUUUCGGGGGUACACGAGCGGCGAACGGGUGAGUAACACGUGGGCGACCUACCCUCAGCUUCGGGAUAAGCCUGGGAAACUGGGUCUAAUACCGGAUAUGACCUUCCCUCGCAUGGGGGUUGGUGGAAAGUUUUUCGGCUGGGGAGUGGGCCCGCGGCCUAUCAGCUUGUUGGUGGGGUGAUCGGCCUACCAAGGCGACGACGGGAGCCGGCCUGAGAGGCGACC